Molecule: long non-coding RNA, 748 nt
Filed under: Homo sapiens (human)
Lineage: Eukaryota; Metazoa; Chordata; Mammalia; Primates; Hominidae
Description: HSALNT0393594
Source: RNAcentral
GCAAAGGGCAUGAACUUCCCAAGGCUCCACCUCAGUGGGGAGGCUGGUUGGAGUUUCUCCAGGGACCGCCUCCCACCUGGCUGUCUCAAUUGUUUUUAGGUACAAAUAGCAAGUUGAUGCAAAGAAAAAUAUAUAAAGUAAAUCAUGGAGAUUAUAUGUGAUUUGGCAAAGGUCAUGAAGGAUACCAUCGCUGAAACUAAACUUUGGAAUAAAUUAGUCUUAUCAAAUUACAAAGACCAGAGCCCUGCCAACCUCUGCAGAAUGCGGUCAUACUGCUCCCCCAUGGAAUGAAGUAUAGAACAAAUCUACCAAUCCUGAGAGAUUGCUGUGACUUUGAAUUCUGUGGAAUCUACACAUCAAUUUGAGGACAGCAGACAGCUUAACAAUGUUGUGUCUUCCAAAGAACAUAGUAUCUAUCUUCAUUUAUUCUGAUCCUCUUUAAUUGCUUUCAGCAGUAUUUGUCAUGGGUGAGGGUGAGAUGCUGUUCUGUGCUAUGUAGAAUGUUUAGCAGCAUAUUUGACCACUAGAUGCCCGUAGCACCUCCCCACCAAGUUGCCACAAUCAAAGUGACUCCAGGCAUUACAAAACAUCUUCUGUGGGGCAAAAUUACCCUUGAUUAAGAACCCCUGAACUAGAGAAAUAGAGAAAGUGUGGUAUUAACAAAACGAUAGCCAUAUUAAUCAGUGGCAAUGAAAAUUAUCAACUCUGUAUGCAAUAGCAAACAAAACAAGAACAAUAACUAAAACAA